GAGGGUAUAGCUCGGUGGUAGAGUGCAUGCUUAGCAUGCACGAGAUCCUGGGUUCAAUCACCAGUAUCUCCA
RNAcentral lists this transfer RNA (72 nucleotides) under Camelus bactrianus (Bactrian camel). It matches the Rfam family "tRNA". From Rfam's summary of the family: Transfer RNA (tRNA) molecules are approximately 80 nucleotides in length. Their secondary structure includes four short double-helical elements and three loops (D, anti-codon, and T loops). The record is from Rfam by way of RNAcentral. RNAcentral also lists the same sequence under 2 other names. Lineage: Eukaryota; Metazoa; Chordata; Mammalia; Artiodactyla; Camelidae.